AUGGGUCCCCAAUGUCCCCCACUGUCACUUGGGGGUCCCCCACUGUCACUUAUGGGUCCCCCAAUGCCACUUGGGGGUCCCCAGUGCCUCCCACUGUCACUUAUGGGUCCCCAAUGUCACUUGGGGGUCACCCACUGUCACUUAUGCGUCCCCCAAUGUCACUUAUGGGUCCCUCACGUCCCCCCAUGUCACUUAUGGGUCCCCAUUAUUCCCCACUGUCACUUAGGGGUCCCCAGUGCCCCCCAAUGUCCCCUAGGGGUCCCCGAAGUCACUUAUGGGUCCCCAUUGUCCCCCAAUGUCACUUUGGGGUCCCCCAUUGUCACUUAUGGGUCCCCAGUGUCACUUACGGGUCCCCAUUAUCCCCCAGUGUCACUUAUGGGUCUCCCAUUGUCCCCCAGUAUGCUCCAGUGUCACUUAUGGGUCCCCAAUGUCACUUGGGGGUCCCGAAUGUCCCCCAGUGUCCCCUUGUGUCACUUGUGGGUCCCCAAUGUCCCUCACUGUCACUUAUGGGUCCCCAAUGUCACUUGGGGGGCCCCCACUGUCACUUAUGGGUCCCCCAAUGUCACUUAUGGGUCCCCCACUGUCACUUAUGGGUCCCCCACUGUCACUUGGGGGGCCCCCACUGUCACUUAUGGGUCCCCAAUGUCACUUAUGGGUCCUCAAUGUCCCCCCACUGUCACUUAUGGGUCCCCAAUGUCACUUAGGGGUCCCCAAUCUCCCCCAGUGUCACUUAUGGGUCCCCCAAUGACACUUAUGGGUCCCCAUUAUCCCCCAAUGUCACUUAUGGGUCCCCAAUGUCACUUAUGGGUCCCCAAUUGUCCCCCAGUGUCACUUAUGGGUCCCCCAGUGUCACUUAUGGGUCCCCCAUUGUCCCCCACUGUCACUUGGGGGUCCCCCACUGUCACUUAUGGGGCCCCCAUUGUCCCCCAGUGUGCUCCAGUGUCACUUAUGGGUCCCCCACUGUCACUUAUGGGUCCCCAAUCUUCCCCACUGUCACUUAUGGGUCCCCAAUGUCACUUAUGGGUCCCCAACGCCACUUGGGGGUCCCCAACCCCCC
Molecule: long non-coding RNA, 1057 nt
Filed under: Numida meleagris (helmeted guineafowl)
Lineage: Eukaryota; Metazoa; Chordata; Aves; Galliformes; Numididae
Description: lncRNA (ENSNMEG00000000655.1)
Source: RNAcentral